AAGCAAAAAACAUACAUAUGCAAUUGAAUAGAACACCUUCACAAGGAAGAAUAUAGAGAGUAGAAAGUAUGGGCAAAAAGGUUUUGAAUUUCAUUUGGUUUUGCAUGUCAAAAAGAACGGAUUCACUGCCGACGCCC
Molecule: non-coding RNA, 137 nt
Organism: Caenorhabditis elegans
Lineage: Eukaryota; Metazoa; Nematoda; Chromadorea; Rhabditida; Rhabditidae
Source: Ensembl